RNAcentral lists this unclassified non-coding RNA (348 nucleotides) under soil metagenome. RNAcentral's name for it is "partial contains 5.8S ribosomal RNA, internal transcribed spacer 2, and large subunit ribosomal RNA". The stretch from base 1 to 120 matches the Rfam family "5.8S ribosomal RNA", at positions 35 to 154 of the family's 154-position model. The record is from RNAcentral.
GAUGAAGAACGCAGCGAAAUGCGAUAAGUAGUGUGAAUUGCAGAAUUCAGUGAAUCAUCGAGUCUUUGAACGCACAUUGCGCCCCCUGGUAUUCCGGGGGGCAUGCCUGUCCGAGCGUCAUUGCUGCCCUCAAGCACGGCUUGUGUGUUGGGCCCCGCCCCCCGGCUCCCGGGGGGCGGGCCCGAAAGGCAGCGGCGGCACCGCGUCCGGUCCUCGAGCGUAUGGGGCUUCGUCACCCGCUCCGUAGGCCCGGCCGGCGCCCGCCGGCGACCCCCCUCAAUCUUUUCAGGUUGACCUCGGAUCAGGUAGGGAUACCCGCUGAACUUAAGCAUAUCAAUAAGCGGAGGA